GUUCUGGAUUAUAACACAGAAAUUGUCUCUCAAGACCAGGUGGAUUCCAUAAUGAAUUUGGUAUCCACGUUGAUUCAAGAUCAGCCAGAUCAACCUGUAGAAGACCCUGAUCCAGAAGAUUUUGCUGAUGAGCAGAGCGUUGUGGGCCCUUCAUUCAUCUGCUGCGCUCUGAGGACCCUGACCAGCAGUACUUGCACACCCAGGUAAAACUAUG
This 214-nucleotide long non-coding RNA is filed under the name Homo sapiens (human). RNAcentral describes it as "HSALNT0385504". The record is from RNAcentral. Lineage: Eukaryota; Metazoa; Chordata; Mammalia; Primates; Hominidae.